Molecule: ribosomal RNA, 488 nt
Filed under: uncultured bacterium
Lineage: Bacteria
Description: bacterial SSU rRNA
Rfam family: Bacterial small subunit ribosomal RNA
Source: RNAcentral
UGGCGGCGUGCCUAAUACAUGCAAGUAGAACGCUGAAGGAAGGAGCUUGCUCUUUCCGGAUGAGUUGCGAACGGGUGAGUAACGCGUAGGUAACCUGCCUGGUAGCGGGGGAUAACUAUUGGAAACGAUAGCUAAUACCGCAUAACAGUAGAUAUUGCAUGAUAUCUGCUUGAAAGGUGCAAUUGCAUCACUACUAGAUGGACCUGCGUUGUAUUAGCUAGUUGGUGAGGUAACGGCUCACCAAGGCGACGAUACAUAGCCGACCUGAGAGGGUGAUCGGCCACACUGGGACUGAGACACGGCCCAGACUCCUACGGGAGGCAGCAGUAGGGAAUCUUCGGCAAUGGACGGAAGUCUGACCGAGCAACGCCGCGUGAGUGAAGAAGGUUUUCGGAUCGUAAAGCUCUGUUGUAAGAGAAGAACGAGUGUGAGAGUGGAAAGUUCACACUGUGACGGUAUCUUACCAGAAAGGGACGGCUAACUACGUG